Molecule: ribosomal RNA, 463 nt
Filed under: uncultured bacterium
Lineage: Bacteria
Description: SSU rRNA
Rfam family: Bacterial small subunit ribosomal RNA
Source: RNAcentral
AGAACGAACGCUGGCGGCAGGCUUAACACAUGCAAGUCGAGCGCUCGCAGCAAUGCGGGAGCGGCAGACGGGUGAGUAACGCGUGGGAACAUACCCUCCGGUUCGGAAUAACUCAGGGAAACUUGAGCUAAUACCGAAUACGGCCAUUGAUUGAGAGAUUGGCGGCGAAAGAUUUAUCGCCGGAGGAUUGGCCCGCGUCCGAUUAGCUAGUUGGUGUGGUAAUGGCGCACCAAGGCGACGAUCGGUAGCUGGUCUGAGAGGAUGAUCAGCCACAUUGGGACUGAGACACGGCCCAAACUCCUACGGGAGGCAGCAGUGGGGGAAUAUUGGACAAUGGGCGCAAGCCUGAUCCAGCCAUGCCGCGUGAGUGAUGACGGCCUUAGGGUUGUAAAGCUCUUUCGCUAGGGACGAUAAUGACGGUACCUAGACAAGAAGCCCCGGCUAACUUCGUGCCAGCAGCCGC